Long non-coding RNA from Triticum urartu, 707 nucleotides. RefSeq lists it as uncharacterized. Lineage: Eukaryota; Viridiplantae; Streptophyta; Magnoliopsida; Poales; Poaceae. The record is from RefSeq and is a predicted model, not a curated record.
AGCACAACGCGCUCUGUUGGACCCACACACCGCUUGGCUACCUUAUCUCUCUAUUCAGUCACGCAUGCGAUGCGCUCUCCUCCACUCCUUUUUCUUCUGUCCCCAAAACACGCCUGUGCUAGUUCUUAUCUCGAUCUGCAUCGCCGUCGGCGCGGCACACAAAUCUCAUCCCCGACUACAAACCUCUCACCGAUGGGAGAGUCGCCCCAGAUUUGUGGUGAGCCAGCCACGGCGGCGCCCGAUGUUGACUACUGCGAGCCACGAGCGCGGCCGCACAACUCCGCUUCCUCGCGCUGGAGUUAGUGCUGCCACCGCCGGCGAUGUGGCGGACCAUCUUUUGGUGCUGCAAUCAGCUACGCCCUUCGAUGGCGGAGUUGCAUCCGUGCACACCGGAGCUGCAACCGGCGUUUUUGGGAGCUGCAAGCGGUGCAGCUCGACGAUGACGACGAGCCAGAGGGCGGCGACGUGAUGGGCGGGCGACAUCGCGCGCAUGGCUUGGUGGACCACGGCAGACCAUGACGGCCAUCGUUUUUUGCUGGGAGGACGCAUUACCAGCGAGGAAGUGACCCGUGCGGGGGGAUAAUACGAGCGUUGUUAAUUUGACGGCUCACGCGCGACCGGCCGAACUGUUGGGCCGGCGCGCCGGCGCCUAUCAGUUCCCUUUAAUAAAGCACGCACUGGAGUGUGAGUGCACCCACCUUCACUUA